AACGAACGCUGGCGGCAUGCCUAACACAUGCAAGUCGAACGAGACCUUCGGGGCUAGUGGCGCACGGGUGCGUAACGCGUGGGAACCUGCCCUUAGGUUCGGAAUAACUCCCCGAAAGGGGUGCUAAUACCGGAUAAUGUCUUCGGACCAAAGAUUUAUCGCCUUUGGAUGGGCCCGCGUUGGAUUAGCUAGUUGGUAGGGUAAAAGCCUACCAAGGCGACGAUCCAUAGCUGGUCUGAGAGGAUGAUCAGCCACACUGGGACUGAGACACGGCCCAGACUCCUACGGGGGGCAGCAGUGGGGAAUAUUGGACAAUGGGCGAAAGCCUGAUCCAGCAAUGCCGCGUGAGUGAUGAAGGCCUUAGGGUUGUAAAGCUCUUUUACCCGGGAUGAUAAUGACAGUACCGGGAGAAUAAGCUCCGGCUAACUCCGUG
This 433-nucleotide ribosomal RNA is filed under the name uncultured bacterium. Its description in RNAcentral is "partial 16S ribosomal RNA". It matches the Rfam family "Bacterial small subunit ribosomal RNA", at positions 29 to 507 of the family's 1533-position model. The record is from RNAcentral.